CCAAAGGGUUNAUUGCGUUAGUACGGCGAGUGAAGCGGCAAAAGCUCAAAUUUGAAAUCUGGCACCUUCGGUGUCCGAGUUGUAAUUUGAAGAAGGUAACUUUGGAGUUGGCUCUUGUCUAUGUUCCUUGGAACAGGACGUCACAGAGGGUGAGAAUCCCGUGCGAUGAGAUGCCCAAUUCUAUGUAAAGUGCUUUCGAAGAGUCGAGUUGUUUGGGAAUGCAGCUCUAAGUGGGUGGUAAAUUCCAUCUAAAGCUAAAUAUUGGCGAGAGACCGAUAGCGAACAAGUACAGUGAUGGAAAGAUGAAAAGAACUUUGAAAAGAGAGUGAAAAAGUACGUGAAAUUGUUGAAAGGGAAGGGCUUGAGAUCAGACUUGGUAUUUUGCGAUCCUUUCCUUCUUGGUUGGGUUCCUCGCAGCUUACUGGGCCAGCAUCGGUUUGGAUGGUAGGAUAAUGACUAAGGAAUGUGGCUCUACUUCGGUGGAGUGUUAUAGCCUUGGUUGAUACUGCCUGUCUAGACCGAGGACUGCGUCUUUUGACUAGGAUGUUGGCAUAAUGAUCUUAAGCCACCCGUCUUGAGAAACCGGACCAAAAAA
Molecule: ribosomal RNA, 595 nt
Filed under: Debaryomyces hansenii
Lineage: Eukaryota; Fungi; Ascomycota; Pichiomycetes; Serinales; Debaryomycetaceae
Description: LSU rRNA
Rfam family: Eukaryotic large subunit ribosomal RNA
Source: RNAcentral